GGUGUGAGGAGGUAGGAAGUAGAGCAGAGAGAAUUAAGGGGGUGGAGAUCUGAAGACAAGCCUGGAAGAAUAGAAAAAAAAGAAAAAGGAGCCUGGGGGGCAGGGGCUCGCAGAAAGAGCCUAAGGGGUGGGAAGAGAAAGAAGCAGGUUGUACUCCAGUUCCUCCUCCUAGGAGGAGCUCGGGGAGCAGGUGGGGUGCCUGACCCAUCCCCCCACAUAGGUAGCAGGGAAGAGACCAUCUUCUUCAAAUAAUCUCCUUUCCAGUGGCCCCCUUCCCACCACAGUAUAAAAAGAAAGGAGACAGCUGGCGUGCUUGGGGGAGGGGGGAGAGGGGACCCAGGGUUUGUUGGCUAAGAACCAACUCCCCCCUUCUGUAACCACAGCUUUCCGGAGGUGGCGGUGGUGGCCCUCCCCUUCCGACCAGCCCAAACUGACACCCUCCUCUUGUGGCCUCCGUGCCCUCUCAGAUCCACCCACUCAGCCCCCCGCACUCCCCUUCCCCCUGCCACAUUCCCAAAUACCCCCUCCUCUCCUUGGCCAGCUCCGGGGCAGAAAGAAGAACUGGGUUUCCGGAUGCCCAGUUCCCUACUGGGGGAGGUGACAAUAAACAAACAAACAGCAACAAAAGAGAGCACAGGUCCAGGUUGGACCUUCUCCCAGUUAGCACCAAGACAGGUAGCCUGGCUAAGAAUCAGCAGGGAGGUGGAGGUGAGGGCACUCCAUCGCCUGAAGGGCUCCAGUGGAGUACCAGCUCCCUGGCCUGAAGAUGGUAAUCAGGUAAGCCGUCCACCCAGCAGACACGGAAGGAAAGCCAGAGAUGAAGAUCAAAGCAGCUCUGGGCUGGGUUCUGGCCUUUCUGAGAACCAGCACAGUGUGGAAGCCCCACGGAGCUGGAAGGUGCUGUCUGGAUACACCACCUUCCUCCCAGUUCCCAGCUGCUCAGCUAAAGUCAGUUUGAUCAUUUUCUGGGGCCUGGGGUGUAGACGGGUCAUAGUAUUUGGGAAUGGAUCUGGAUACAAAGACAGGAAUAAAGGAUACUUUAAAAGCAGUGGCCAAGAGGU
Non-coding RNA from Ictidomys tridecemlineatus (thirteen-lined ground squirrel), 1061 nucleotides. Lineage: Eukaryota; Metazoa; Chordata; Mammalia; Rodentia; Sciuridae. The record is from RefSeq and is a predicted model, not a curated record.